GACGAACGCUGGCGGCGUGCUUAACACAUGCAAGUCGAACGCUGAAGCUCAGCUUUUGUUGGGUGGAUGAGUGGCGAACGGGUGAGUAACACGUGAGUAACCUGCCCCCUUCUUUGGGAUAACGCCCGGAAACGGGUGCUAAUGCUGGAUAUUCACUGGUCUUCGCAUGGGGGUUGGUGGAAAGGGUUUUUCUGGUGGGGGAUGGGCUCGCGGCCUAUCAGCUUGUUGGUGGGGUGAUGGCCUACCAAGGCUUUGACGGGUAGCCGGCCUGAGAGGGUGACCGGUCACAUUGGGACUGAGAUACGGCCCAGACUCCUACGGGAGGCAGCAGUGGGGAAUAUUGCACAAUGGGCGCAAGCCUGAUGCAGCGACGCCGCGGGAGGGAUGGAGGCCUUCGGGUUGUGAACCUCUUUCGCUCAUGGUCAAGCCGCAACAAUGGUUGUGGUGAGGGUAGUGGGUAAAGAAGCGCCGGCUAACUACGUG
RNAcentral lists this ribosomal RNA (483 nucleotides) under uncultured bacterium. RNAcentral describes it as "partial 16S ribosomal RNA". It matches the Rfam family "Bacterial small subunit ribosomal RNA", at positions 28 to 507 of the family's 1533-position model. The record is from RNAcentral.